RNAcentral lists this ribosomal RNA (253 nucleotides) under uncultured bacterium. RNAcentral describes it as "partial 16S ribosomal RNA". It matches the Rfam family "Bacterial small subunit ribosomal RNA", at positions 524 to 776 of the family's 1533-position model. The record is from RNAcentral.
UACGAGAGUCCCAAACGUUAUUCGGAAUUACUGGGCUUAAAGAGUUCGUAGGCGGCAUUGCAAGUCGGGUGUGAAAGCCCUCGGCUCAACCGAGGAAUUGCGCUCUAAACUGCAGUGCUCGAGGAACCUAGAGGUGAGCAGAACAGAUGGUGGAGCGGUGAAAUGCGUUGAUAUCAUCUGGAAUACCGGAGGCGAAGGCGGCUCACUGGGGGUUUUCUGACGCUGCGGAACGAAAGCCAGGGUAGCGAACGGG